This 229-nucleotide ribosomal RNA is filed under the name uncultured bacterium. RNAcentral's name for it is "partial 16S ribosomal RNA". It matches the Rfam family "Bacterial small subunit ribosomal RNA", at positions 568 to 796 of the family's 1533-position model. The record is from RNAcentral.
UCCGUAGGUGGAUAAUUAAGUCAGAGGUGAAAUCCUGCAGCUCAACUGUAGAAUUGCCUUUGAUACUGGUUAUCUUGAGUCAUUAUGAAGUGGUUAGAAUGUGUAGUGUAGCGGUGAAAUGCAUAGAUAUUACACAGAAUACCGAUUGCGAAGGCAGAUCACUAAUAAUGUACUGACACUGAGGGACGAAAGCGUGGGGAGUGAACAGGAUUAGAUACCCUGGUAGUCC